AUUUGACCUCAGCUCAGUCGUGAUUACCCGCUGAAUUUAAGCAUAUAAUUAAGCGGAGGAAAAGAAACUAACGAGGAUUCCCAUAGUAACGGCGAGUGAAAUGGGAAAAGCCCAGCGCUGAAUCCAUCGAUCACUGGUCGCUUGGAAUUGUAGCGUAUAGGUGCGGCUGUCCGCUCGUUUCGUGCACCCAAAGUCCCCUUGAGCGGGGCCAUAGUCCAAAGAAGGUGCUAGACCUGUACGGGUGGCGAGACGGUCGGUUGGUCGCUCCUUGGAGUCGGGUUGCCUGGGAUCGCAGCCCAAAGUUGGUGGUAGACCUCAUCUAAGGCUAAAUAUGGCCACGAAACCGAUAGCAAACAAGUACCGUGAGGGAAAGUUGCAAAGAACUUUGAAGAGAGAGUUCAAGAGGGCGUGAAACCGCCGAGAUUGAAACGGAUAGAGUUGACGAAACUCGAUCGCAUUCAUCCGAUCCGCCUAGCGGUUCGGCGGUUGUUGACUUCCUCGAUGAGGGCAACGCCGUCGCUGGCUGUUGGGUGUUAGAUGGGUGUAUUUGCGGUCGGUAUGCGCCGAGAGCUUUGCGAACGCAUGUUGGCGUUGAUGUAGUGGACCACUCCCUCCGGGCGUGGAACCCUGCACUGACUGAGGCAUGUCGUUUGUAGGGUGUUGCUGGUUGACGUCUCCGCUAUGGUGCGUCGGCUUUGUCGGACUGUUGUGGCUACUGGGUGAUCGCAUGCGAGCGCCUGUGGUUUAUGAUCGUACGAUGAGGUGCAGACGCGCUUGAGACGUGCAUCUCGGUGUGAACGUUGACCACCUAUCCGACCCGUCUUGUAACACGGACCAAGGAGUCUAGCAUAUGCGCGAGUCAUUGGGUGGUAAACCUAAAGGCGUAAUGAAAGUAAAGGCUGUCUUGUUACGGCUGAUAUGGGAUCUGUGUGGCUUUCGAGCCAUACGGCGCACCAUAGCCCCGUCCCGGUUGCUUGCAAUGGGGCGGAGGUAGAGCGCAUACGCUGGGACCCGAAAGAUGGUGAACUAUGCCUGAGCAGGAUGAAGCCAGAGGAAACUCUGGUGGAAGUCCGAAGCGGUUCUGACGUGCAAAUCGAUCGUCUGACUUGGGUAUAGGGGCGAAAGACUAAUCGAACCAUCUAGUAGCUGGUUCCCUCUGAAGUUUCCCCCAGGAUAGCUGGAGUUUAUUGUUAGCAGUUAUAUUCGGUAAAGCGAAUGACUAGAGGAAUUGGGGACGAAACGACCUCAACCUAUUCUCAAACUUUCAAUGGGUAUGAAGUCCCGCUUGCUUGACGUUGCUGAAGCGAGGACAUUGAAUGUGAGCUCCAAGUGGGCCAUUUUUGGUAAGCAGAACUGGCGCUGUGGGAUGAACCAAACGUCGGGUUAAAGUGCCAAACUUCCCGCUCAUGAGACCCCAUGAAAGGCGUUGGUUGAUAUAGACAGCAGGACGGUGGCCAUGGAAGUCGGAAACCGCUAAGGAGUGUGUAACAACUCACCUGCCGAAUCAACUAGCCCUGAAAAUGGAUGGCGCUUGAGCGGGAGACUUAUACCCGACCGUUGCUCGGCUUGUGUGUUCCGUAAGGAAUUCGCCUGGCCGCAACGAGUAAGAGGGUCGCAGUGGUUUGCGUCGAAGGCUUUGGGCGUAGGCCCGGCUGGAGCUUCCACUGGUGCAGAUCUUGGUGGUAGUAGCAAAUAUUCAAGUGAGAUCCUUGAAGACUGAAGUGGAGAAGGGUUCCACGUGAACAGCAGUUGAAUGUGGGUCAGUCGGCCCUAAGAUACUGGCUAAUGCCUUGUGUUAUCGAGAGACGGAGUUCAAAUCCAUCUCGUUUAUCGAAAGGGAAACGGGUUAAUAUUCCCGUACCUGGACACGGAGAUAAGCGCUCAUUGCGAGUGUUUAGCGCGGCAACGCAAACGAACUCGGUGACGCUGAAUAGAGCCCGAGCUAGAGUUCUCUUUUCUAGUUAAGGAACGGACUCCCUGGAAUCGGUUCAGCCGGAGAUAGGGACGUUGUUUCCGUAAAGCGCCACGGUUCCUGUGGUGUCUCGUGCGCUCUAUUCGGCCCUUGAAAAGCCGAGGGAGGCUAUUUGAAUUUCGUGCCAGGCCGUACCGAUAUCCGCAGCAGGUCUCCAAGGUGAACAGCCUCUAGUCGAUAGAAUAAUGUAGGUAAGGGAAGUCGGCAAAUUAGAUCCGUAACUUCGGGAAAAGGAUUGGCUCUAAGGACUGGGCCGGUCGGGCUGCAGUGUGAAGCGAGUUCGGUUUGAUCCAUGCAGUGCAACGCUCGGCAACGGGUGGCGCUCGGCUAGUGUUCGAACUGUCUUGUGGACCGCUGCAGCUGCGUACCGCGUCCUCGCAGGCGUUGGUGCUUCGGCCGGCGCUAAACAGUUGACUUAGAACUGGCACGGACUCGGGGAAUCCGACUGUCUAAUUAAAACAGAGGAGACAGAUGGCCCUUGCGGGCGUUGACUGUCUCUGAUUUCUGCCCAGUGCUCUGAAUGUAAAAGUGAAGAAAUUCAACCAAGCGCGGGUAAACGGCGGGAGUAACUAUGACUCUCUUAAGGUAGCCAAAUGCCUCGUCAUCUAAUUAGUGACGCGCAUGAAUGGAUGAACGAGAUUCCCACUGUCCCU
RNAcentral lists this ribosomal RNA (2625 nucleotides) under Alosa alosa (allis shad). RNAcentral's name for it is "eukaryotic LSU rRNA". It matches the Rfam family "Eukaryotic large subunit ribosomal RNA", at positions 1 to 2346 of the family's 3401-position model. Lineage: Eukaryota; Metazoa; Chordata; Actinopteri; Clupeiformes; Clupeidae. The record is from RNAcentral.